CCUACGGGCGGCAGCAGUGAGGAAUAUUGGUCAAUGGACGAGAGUCUGAACCAGCCAAGUAGCGUGAAGGAUGACUGCCCUAUGGGUUGUAAACUUCUUUUAUAUGGGAAUAAAAUGUUCCACGUGUGGGAUUUUGUAUGUACCAUAUGAAUAAGGAUCGGCUAACUCCGUGCCAGCAGCCGCGGUAAUACGGAGGAUCCGAGCUUUAUCCGGUUUUAUUGGGUUUAAAGGGAGCGUAGGUGGAUUGUUAAGUCAGUUGUGAAAGUUUGCGGCUCAACCGUAAAAUUGCAGUUGAAACUGGCAGUCUUGAGUACAGUAGAGGUGGGCGGAAUGCGUGGUGUAGCGGUGAAAUGCUUAGAUAUCACGAAGAACUCCGAUUGCGAAGGCAGUUCACUGGACUGCAACUGACACUGAGGCUCGAAAGUGUGGGUAUCAAACAGGAUUAGAUACCCGUGUAGUC
Molecule: ribosomal RNA, 460 nt
Filed under: uncultured bacterium
Lineage: Bacteria
Description: partial 16S ribosomal RNA
Rfam family: Bacterial small subunit ribosomal RNA
Source: RNAcentral